GGGCUCGUAGUAUAGCUUGGAUAGUACAGGGGCCUCCGGAGCCUCUAACCCGGGUUCAAAUCCCGGCGGGUCCG
RNAcentral lists this non-coding RNA (74 nucleotides) under Methanosarcinales archaeon Met12. Its description in RNAcentral is "tRNA-Arg". It matches the Rfam family "tRNA". Rfam says of the family: Transfer RNA (tRNA) molecules are approximately 80 nucleotides in length. Their secondary structure includes four short double-helical elements and three loops (D, anti-codon, and T loops). Further hydrogen bonds mediate the characteristic L-shaped molecular structure. tRNAs have two regions of fundamental functional importance: the anti-codon, which is responsible for specific mRNA codon recognition, and the 3' end, to which the tRNAs corresponding amino acid is attached (by aminoacyl-tRNA synthetases). tRNAs cope with the degeneracy of the genetic code in two manners: having more than one tRNA (with a specific anti-codon) for a particular amino acid; and 'wobble' base-pairing, i.e. permitting non-standard base-pairing at the 3rd anti-codon position. Lineage: Archaea; Methanobacteriati; Methanobacteriota; Methanomicrobia; Methanosarcinales. The record is from RNAcentral.